Myodes glareolus (Bank vole) is the source of this 2085-nucleotide non-coding RNA. The record is from RefSeq and is a predicted model, not a curated record. Lineage: Eukaryota; Metazoa; Chordata; Mammalia; Rodentia; Cricetidae.
AGGAAGAGGAAGAGAAAGGGGGGAGAGAGAGAAAGAGAAACAGAAAGGAGUCUGGGGGAAGGGAAGAGACCAGUUUGAGGGGAGAAGGAGAAGAAAGGAGGGUUUCUAAAGAUGAAUAUGGUCAGAAUACAUGAUACAGCCGAAGGGAAUCUCAUCUUUAGGGAACUCAUCACUUCAUAGAAGGACGAAUUAGUGUAUCUAAGUGCUGUCAAGAGCAACCUUGGUGUAGCCUCUGCAUCUCUCUGAGCCAGAGCCUUCCGUCCGUAAAAGAGCAAAGGGGCAGUUUGCAAGGUCACUGUGAGCACCCAAUGUGAAACCUUUAACAAUCCGAAGCCUGGCACAUUGGUCCUCGGCAAAUGGGGUUUUCCUAGAGAUGCUUUCUGUCUCCUGGGGUUCUAGCUGCUGCUCCCUUUCAAAGCAUCCCCUUCUUCCUUAUCUCGUGCCAUCCUCACGAGGGGGCAGGCUACGGGUUAUCUCUGCAAGCCGACGCGCCAGACAGUCAGUGGAAUGGAUCCGACAAUCAGUCAUCCUCUGUGUAAAACACACUUAGAAAGGAAAGAUCGCUAGACAGUGCUCUCAGUUGGGGGAAGCGAAACAGAGCAACAACAAAACCCCCACAGGGCUAAGUUGCAGCCAUCCACUUUGGUAGAUCUGCAGAUGAAAUGUCAGCUUGAGAAAAAAGUCAACAGCCGUAAAAGAAAGAAGGAAAAGAAAGCAUGCACAGAACACUGGCAACGCGUGUCACUAAGUGCAGAACGCCGCUGCGUGUUUGUAGCCCUGGGGCAGAUGAAUGGAAGAUCAUCUGCGAUCAGGACAUUUACUCCUUGUGGACAAGGAUAAACGGAGCUCGAAGCCCAAGCCUAGCUUGAUGGCUCCAUUUCCUCCCAAUUCAGAGCUUCUAAAGGACAGCGUAUGCUUGUGAUUACUGAAGAGGUUAUCAUAUUGUGCUUUUACAAUGGCCAGGGUAUAGGGGAAGGAACACACCUUUUUAGUUCCAGACCUGGGAGGCAGAGGCAGGCGGAUCUCUGUGAGUUCAGAGCCAACCUGGUUUACAUACUGAGUUCCAGGACAGCCAGAGCUACAUUGUGAGAUUCUGUCCAAAAAUAAAUUACAACAUCCAGUUCCCACACUGGGCCAAAUGAAUCCACGCCUGAAGGGAUGAGGCCCGGCUGCAUCAGCAGCUUCUCAAGUUGUCCCACUGUGAGCCGGAUCUGAGAACCUAGAGCCAUGUCCCUGAAGUCAUAGCCUGGAUGAGACUGAACCUGCAUCUGGACGCUUGCCAGCUUCCUACCAAUGUGGACUCUCUUGAUCCUUGGACCACUCUGAUUUUAAAAGGCUGUGCAAGAAUUCCUAAGCAUUUUUACUUUAUUUCAUUUUACAAAAUCACUUUAGGUUCCUCCUGCUAUAAAACCAAAAGUUUGGGCUCGAGGGACUUUGACCUCAUUGCCUCUGCAGACUUGCACAGAUAGUGACCAAUUGGGAGGAAUCGUCCGUGGUUCUCCGCGAGCCAUGUCACUGUCACCUGUCCGUGUUUACUGAAGCUAAGGAAGAUGGACGUUGACUCUCCAUAGGGCAGAGUGAAGCAGAGCCGUCUGAACCUCUAUGUGCACUGAACUUACGGGCAUGAUCAAUUUAAAGAUCCAAGAGCUCCAGAGAUACCCCUACAGAAACUGAGAGACUUGGGUUCCACAGAUUUCCAAAAGGAGACUAGAGUGGGUUGCUGUAACAGUAAUUACAGUAAUCAGUAAAUGGCUCCUGCAUGCCCGGUGCUGUUCUGAUAAUCACAUAAUCAAAGUCUGUAUCGUCUUCGCAUCCAUCCUGUGGACUAAGGACUUCUAGUCCCAGCUUAUAAACUGAGAAAACUGACAGACAAGGAGUCAGAAGACGGCCAGGAACGACGCGUGUGGUGCUGGGCAGCAGUUAAAUGUUGGGGUCCUUUCUUCAAACAGUGUGUGACCAGAGAAAGGAAAGAAGAGAAAAAUAGAAUCAAGAAGGAGUAGGCCUCAUGGAUAAUACAUUUAGGAUUCCCAGCCUGAGAACCUGGCUUCAGAUUCUGGACUUUAAAUAAAUAGUUUGAAUGCAGGA